This is a non-coding RNA of Haemonchus placei, 75 nucleotides long. The record is from Rfam. Lineage: Eukaryota; Metazoa; Nematoda; Chromadorea; Rhabditida; Trichostrongylidae.
GGUCCAAAUUUGAGGUAGAGUAGAUUAAGAGGAUCGGCUGACCCUACUAAACCACUCUACUUCAAGUUUGUGCCU